RNAcentral lists this ribosomal RNA (503 nucleotides) under uncultured bacterium. RNAcentral describes it as "partial 16S ribosomal RNA". It matches the Rfam family "Bacterial small subunit ribosomal RNA", at positions 29 to 523 of the family's 1533-position model. The record is from RNAcentral.
AACGAACGCUGGCGGCACGUUUUAAGCAUGCAAGUCGAAUGGCAGUGGGGGCAACCCCAUGAGAAUGGCGAACGGGUGAGUAACACGUAGGUGAUCUGCCUGACGGAUGGGGAUAGCUUGUGGAAACACAGGGUAAUACCGAAUGAGCUGACGAGACUUUGGUUUUGUUAGUAAAGGUGCUACGGCACCGCCGACAGAGGAGCCUGCGGCUGAUUAGCUAGUUGGGGGGGUAAAGGCCUGCCAAGGCGACGAUCAGUAGCCGGCCUGAGAGGGUGUACGGCCACACUGGAACUGAGACACGGUCCAGACUCCUACGGGAGGCAGCAGCUAAGAAUCUUCCGCAAUGGGCGAAAGCCUGACGGAGCGAUGCCGCGUGAUCGAUGAAGGUCGAGAGAUUGUAAAGAUCUUUUCUACAUGAGGAAUAAGUCUGGGAGGGAAUGCCUGGAUGAUGACGUUAGUGUAGGAAUAAGCCCCGGCUAAUUACGUGCCAGCAGCCGCCGUAA